GGUCUUAUGGCUGAGUGGUUUAAGCGAGGUACUGUUAAUACCUUCUACAGAGGUUCGAACCCUCUUAAGACCU
RNAcentral lists this transfer RNA (73 nucleotides) under Cyathus jiayuguanensis. RNAcentral describes it as "tRNA-Asn". It matches the Rfam family "tRNA". From Rfam's summary of the family: Transfer RNA (tRNA) molecules are approximately 80 nucleotides in length. Their secondary structure includes four short double-helical elements and three loops (D, anti-codon, and T loops). The record is from RNAcentral. Lineage: Eukaryota; Fungi; Basidiomycota; Agaricomycetes; Agaricales; Nidulariaceae.